RNAcentral lists this ribosomal RNA (201 nucleotides) under Vibrio parahaemolyticus. Its description in RNAcentral is "partial 23S ribosomal RNA". It matches the Rfam family "Bacterial large subunit ribosomal RNA", at positions 1628 to 1813 of the family's 2925-position model. The record is from RNAcentral. Lineage: Bacteria; Pseudomonadati; Pseudomonadota; Gammaproteobacteria; Vibrionales; Vibrionaceae.
CAGAUUGUAAGGAAUCGUACCCCAAACCGACACAGGUGGUCGGGUAGAGAAUACCAAGGCGCUUGAGAGAACUCGGGUGAAGGAACUAGGCAAAAUGGUACCGUAACUUCGGGAGAAGGUACGCUCUCGACGGUGAAGUCCCUCGCGGAUGGAGCUAUUGAGAGUCGCAGAUACCAGGUGGCUGCAACUGUUUAUUAAAAA